UUCCAGAAAAUGCCCACGCAAUUCUUGUUACUCAUAGCAUAUGGUAAUUUUGGUAGAUAAAGCCAUAGCGCAAACGCUGUGAAUUUGAGGAAUGGUCUUUGGGGGUCACUUGGUGAGAAAUACCCCUACUCAUUUUUACCCUUUUAUAGAAAUCUGUUAGUUAAGGACACUGGAAGUCUUGCCAAUUAACUACAGUUACAAACAGGCUAGUUUAUAACUCUGAAAAGCUCCUUUAGCUGUUUCCUUUUGCAGCUGUUUACCUAUUUCUCGGGCCUUAUUGACAGGAGAAAGGCCCACAUCUAUUUGAGAGAAAACAUGUGGUCCUCUUGUUGCACGCCUGACCUUGUAGCCUUGUCCACAUCUUUAUACACAAUGAAAUACUUGUUUAAGCCGGCAUCAGCCCGUCUCCCCACAUGAAGCCCGGGCACAGCGGGGUGGGCCUGCAGACUCCACACGCGCGCACCGCCAUGAGACGAGCGGGGCCAGGGCGCAGCGGCGCGGCCGAGCACGCCCCGCACCCGUCCUGCCCUUCGCCGCGAAAUGGCGGCCGCGGCCGCCCGCGCUGCCGAGCGCACCCCGGGACACCGGCUCCGAGCCUCCCGCAGUGGAGAGCGGACGGCUCUGCCCACGGCCUCCCAGAGGAGCGGGAACCCAUCCACGGGCAGACGAAGGGCCUCCGGGAGACCUGA
This 689-nucleotide long non-coding RNA is filed under the name Strigops habroptila (Kakapo). RNAcentral's name for it is "lncRNA (ENSSHBG00005007085.1)". The record is from RNAcentral. Lineage: Eukaryota; Metazoa; Chordata; Aves; Psittaciformes; Psittacidae.